UGCAGUCGAACGAUGAAGCUGGAGCUUGCUCUGGUGGAUUAGUGGCGAACGGGUGAGUAACACGUGAGUAACCUGCCCUUGACUCUGGGAUAAGCGUUGGAAACGACGUCUAAUACCGGAUACGAGCUUCAGCCGCAUGGCUAGGAGCUGGAAAGAAUUUUGGUCAAGGAUGGACUCGCGGCCUAUCAGCUUGUUGGUGAGGUAAUGGCUCACCAAGGCGACGACGGGUAGCCGGCCUGAGAGGGUGACCGGCCACACUGGGACUGAGACACGGCCCAGACUCCUACGGGAGGCAGCAGUGGGGAAUAUUGCACAAUGGGCGAAAGCCUGAUGCAGCAACGCCGCGUGAGGGACGACGGCCUUCGGGUUGUAAACCUCUUUUAGCAGGGAAGAAGCGAAAGUGACGGUACCUGCAGAAAAAGCACCGGCUAACUACGUGCCAGCAGCCGCGGUAAUACGUAGGGUGCAAGCGUUGUCCGGAAUUAUUGGGCGUAAAGAGCUCGUAGGCGGUUUGUCGCGUCUGCUGUGAAAACGCGAGGCUCAACCUCGCGCCUGCAGUGGGUACGGGCAGACUAGAGUGCGGU
This 584-nucleotide ribosomal RNA is filed under the name bacterium SL2.22. Its description in RNAcentral is "bacterial SSU rRNA". It matches the Rfam family "Bacterial small subunit ribosomal RNA", at positions 56 to 652 of the family's 1533-position model. The record is from RNAcentral.